AUGUACUCUUUAUAUGUUGUCGGAAAAAAUCGCUGCAGUGUUGCAGUCUCGCCACGAGACGGCGCUGUGGCUCCCUCGAACAGGUCCGCAUGUCGGGCACUUCUGUCAUCCCCCCACGAGGUGGCGCUGUCACCGGGCCGGACAACCGUGAUGGCGGCACGAACUCGACUGCCCCUCGUUCGGCGAGACCGAGUCUGCAUGGCUUUGGAUUCAGCUGACAAUGGAGCUGGAAUACGUGAACGCCUCCCUUGGAGGGAAGCGGCUUGGGCCCCAAGAAGGGCAGGACACACCCUAAUUCCUCCAUCUUGUCCCUUUGAACCCCCCUGUACUGAGAUUCUAAAACCUGUGUUUCACACUAUAAUUAAUCUAUCCCUUCACCAUUUAUCCCCGUGUGAUCCUCCCAUCCUCAUAGAGGUGAUGUUUCCUGUGCAGGGUCAAAGUCCAACCACCAAACACUUCUGGCCACGUUCCAGGACCUCCAAACCCCCCAGGGGUGGUCUCGGUGCCUCUGCACAUCAGGAACGCUGUGCUGAGCUCCCACAGCUCUGGGGGAAUGGCAGCAAUGGCACGGAGCAGCCACGAGUCCUUUGUGCCUCCAGGUCCUUUGUGCCUCCCAAGUCCUUUUUGCUUCAGGUCCUUUUGGCCUCCAGGUCCCUUUUUUGCCUCUCCAGAAUCCUUUUUGCUUUGGGUCCUUUUUGCCUCCAGGUGAUUUUUGCCUCUGGGUCCUUUUAGUCUUCAGGGUCCUUUGUGCCUCCCAAGUCCUUUUUGCUUUGGGCCCUUUUUGCUUUGGGUCCUUUUUGCUUUGGGUCCUUUUUGCUUUGGG
This 823-nucleotide long non-coding RNA is filed under the name Zonotrichia albicollis (white-throated sparrow). RNAcentral's name for it is "lncRNA (ENSZALG00000000151.1)". The record is from RNAcentral. Lineage: Eukaryota; Metazoa; Chordata; Aves; Passeriformes; Passerellidae.